RNAcentral lists this ribosomal RNA (345 nucleotides) under Triticum aestivum (bread wheat). RNAcentral's name for it is "partial small subunit ribosomal RNA". Lineage: Eukaryota; Viridiplantae; Streptophyta; Magnoliopsida; Poales; Poaceae. The record is from RNAcentral.
AUGUUGGUGGAAUAUGCAGGGCAUAACGGAGCAGCGGAGGUCGAGGCGGCGGCCUCGAGAGUUCGGCAACAUCGAUUGCGUUCACCUCGUGUCGCUUGGGCGGCGAGGUUGCUCUUGAUUUUGUCGGCGGCGUCUCAAGCGUCGCGUUUGGUGGAUUGCACACACCUUCACCUUGUGGGAGCGUCCCAGGUCUGCUCUUCUCAUAGCAGUCGUGGCUUCUUUUCUCCGGCAACGGUGGGUUCAUCUGUGUGUAUGGUGGUAGUGUGCUCCAAUGAUGGUUGUGGCAUCGUUGGAAGUGUGGUGUGGCCUUGUGGUGUGGCGUUUCGAGUUGGCUUGGCCAUGUGA